CCUACGGGUGGCUGCAGUGAGGAAUAUUGGUCAAUGGGCGGAAGCCUGAACCAGCCAAGUAGCGUGCAGGAUGACGGCCCUACGGGUUGUAAACUGCUUUUAUACGGGAAUAACGCGCCUUACGUGUAGGGCUUUUCAUGUACCGUAUGAAUAAGGACCGGCUAAUUCCGUGCCCGCAGCCGCGGGAAUACGGAAGGUCCGGGCGUUAUCCGGGUUUAUUGGGUUUAAAGGGAGCGUAGGCCGCAUGUCAAGCGUGCUGUGAAAGGUCCGGGCCCAACCCGGGCCUUGCAGGGGCAACUGGCGUGCUUGAGUCGGCGGAAAGCAGGCGGAAUUCGUCGUGUAGCGGUGAAAUGCUUAGAUAUGACGAAGAACCCCGAUUGCGAAGGCAGCUUGCUGCAGCGGAACUGACGCUGAUGCUCGAAAGCGCGGGUAUCGAACAGGAUUAGAUACCCCUGUAGUC
Molecule: ribosomal RNA, 460 nt
Filed under: uncultured bacterium
Lineage: Bacteria
Description: partial 16S ribosomal RNA
Rfam family: Bacterial small subunit ribosomal RNA
Source: RNAcentral